CAGGAAACUGUCAAAUGGGGCAUUUGGAAAUGACAGACAUCGAAUCAACAGGUUUGCUGCUGUUUUAGGAUUUGCCAAUUGUUAACAUAGUGGCGCAUCUGCUGUUUCAUAAAGGUCAUGCUGUCACAUAAUUCUUGUCUGCAGAGCUUCAUUCACUACAAGCAUCUGGAUCUCAGCUUCAUUUGGUCAGAGGUGAUUUGACUGCCAGCUUUUGUCUUCCUUGACUCCUUCGGGUAGG
RNAcentral lists this long non-coding RNA (238 nucleotides) under Homo sapiens (human). RNAcentral describes it as "HSALNT0246887". Lineage: Eukaryota; Metazoa; Chordata; Mammalia; Primates; Hominidae. The record is from RNAcentral.